ACCCGCACAAGCGGUGGAUGAUGUGGUUUAAUUCGAUGCAACGCGAAAACCUUACCCACCUUUGACAUGGCAGGAAUCCUGAAGAGAUUUGGGAGUGCUCGAAAGAGAACCUGCACACAGGUGCUGCAUGGCUGUCGUCAGCUCGUGUCGUGAGAUGUUGGGUUAAGUCCCGCAACGAGCGCAACCCUUGCCAUUAGUUGCUACGAAAGGGCACUCUAAUGGGACUGCCGGUGACAAACCGGAGGAAGGUGGGGAUGACGUCAAGUCCUCAUGGCCCUUAUAGGUGGGGCUACACACGUCAUACAAUGGCCGGUACAGAGGGUAGCCAACCCGCGAGGGGGAGCCAAUCCCACAAAGCCGGUCGUAGUCCGGAUCGCAGUCUGCAACUCGACUGCGUGAAGUCGGAAUCGCUAGUAAUCGCGGAUCAGCAUGUCGCGGUGAAUACGUUCCCGGGUCUU
RNAcentral lists this ribosomal RNA (458 nucleotides) under uncultured Allobrachymonas sp. Its description in RNAcentral is "bacterial SSU rRNA". It matches the Rfam family "Bacterial small subunit ribosomal RNA", at positions 919 to 1382 of the family's 1533-position model. Lineage: Bacteria; Pseudomonadati; Pseudomonadota; Betaproteobacteria; Burkholderiales; Comamonadaceae. The record is from RNAcentral.